UACGUAGGGUGCAAGCGUUGUCCGGAAUCAUUGGGCGUAAAGCGCGCGUAGGUGGCCUCAUAAGUCCGCUGUGAAAGUCCAAGGCUCAACCUUGGAAAGCCGGUGGAUACUGUGAGGCUAGAGUACGGAAGAGGCGAGUGGAAUUCCUGGUGUAGCGGUGGAAUGCGCAGAUAUCAGGAGGGACACCAAUAGCGAAGGCAGCUCGCUGGGACGUUACUGACACUGAGGCGCGAAAGCGUGGGGAGCGAACAGG
This 253-nucleotide ribosomal RNA is filed under the name uncultured bacterium. RNAcentral's name for it is "partial 16S ribosomal RNA". It matches the Rfam family "Bacterial small subunit ribosomal RNA", at positions 524 to 776 of the family's 1533-position model. The record is from RNAcentral.